Molecule: ribosomal RNA, 253 nt
Filed under: uncultured bacterium
Lineage: Bacteria
Description: partial 16S ribosomal RNA
Rfam family: Bacterial small subunit ribosomal RNA
Source: RNAcentral
UACGUAUGGUGCAAGCGUUAUCCGGAUUUACUGGGUGUAAAGGGAGCGUAGGCGGCGCGUUAAGUCUGAUGUGAAAACCCGAGGCUCAACCACGGGAGUGCAUUGGAAACUGGCGGGCUGGAGUACCGGAGGGGCAGGCGGAAUUCCUAGUGUAGCGGUGAAAUGCGUAGAUAUUAGGAGGAACACCAGUGGCGAAGGCGGCCUGCUGGACGGAGACUGACGCUGAGGCUCGAAAGCGUGGGGAGCAAACAGG